GAGUGUGAGAGAGAUCUGGUUGUGAAAUCUGUCACCCCAUUGAUCUCUAGGGUUGACGCGGCUGAGCUGGCUUCUUAGGCGAGCGUUCCCUUCCUCCCUCACUGCUCCAUAUGCAUCCCCAACCCAAAGAUGCUCACUCGGUUGAAGAGGAUGAACAUCCCCACCAGAGGAGGACUGUUCUUCAGUAGAGAGUUUAUGAGCCACACGCACCCCUGCUAGAACUUCCCAACAAGUCCUCUCAAGAAAUCUAACUGCUCCAAGACCACCAUGCUGGAGAGGUCAUGGGGAGGGCUCAGGUCAACUGUUCCAGCUGAGCCCAGUCUUCUC
Molecule: unclassified non-coding RNA, 327 nt
Organism: Carlito syrichta (Philippine tarsier)
Lineage: Eukaryota; Metazoa; Chordata; Mammalia; Primates; Tarsiidae
Gene: 7SK
Rfam family: 7SK RNA
About the family: 7SK was discovered as an abundant small nuclear RNA in the mid-70s but a possible function has only recently been suggested.
Source: Ensembl